AGGAAAUGAGAGGAGUUGAAGAUGUUAACCUGGAGGGGAAGGAGUCAGGCUAGAGGGAGCUCCGGAGAAGGUGUCCCGAGAGCAUCUGCAGAGGCCUCUGAAUCGCCCUCGCUCCGUGGAAAGCUUGUGUUCUGGGCCAAGAUGGGAUGUCUGGGACUGGGAUUCAGGACCAGGCCCUGCAAGGCCCUGCUGUGCAGUGCCCAGCACCGCCCGGUCCACGGAAGACCUUCAAUAAAGCUGUUGAGAAGCUUCAAGAACUAAUGGACAGACUAGAGAAGCGGGUUUGGAAAACAGAAGGACUCACUCAUGUGCAAAGAUAACACAAAAAGAUGUCCAUUGAAGCUUUGAUUGUGAUAGAAAACAAAGUGGGAAUGCUGAAAUGUCCAUCAAUCGGGUCAAACACAUUACAGCGCAUCUCUACAAGGAAGCAAAACUUUUCUCCAUGACAACCAUCUCCAUAUUUCGAGAUGUCACAUUCUACCAUAAAGAUACAAAGCAAGACUGGGGCUAUUGAGGAAUUCAUGACUCAAGUGUGCAAAUCCUUUCUUGAAUCCAAAGGAAAAUAUCUUGCCGCUUUCAUAUGCUGCUUUGUAAAUGCCAAAAAGAUAACGAGAAAAGCCACUUUUUUGAGGAUACGGG
RNAcentral lists this long non-coding RNA (639 nucleotides) under Equus caballus (horse). RNAcentral's name for it is "lncRNA (ENSECAG00000046036.1)". Lineage: Eukaryota; Metazoa; Chordata; Mammalia; Perissodactyla; Equidae. The record is from RNAcentral.